AGAAGAUAGAAGUCUAAAAUAUUUAAUGUUCUACAUUUUACAUAUCUAUAAAAUUAAUAGAUAUAUCAGUAUUUGAAAGUAACAUACUUUAAUUCAAUCAGAAAUAUAUAUUUUCAAGUAAAAUACAUUUUUAUUUUCACUAUUAUCAUUAACCACAUGGAUACUUAUUUAUUUAACAGUACGUCUGCCAUAGUAUAGGUUAAGAUAAUUAUUUCAUUAUCAAAUGAAGUU
Molecule: long non-coding RNA, 231 nt
Organism: Bombus huntii
Lineage: Eukaryota; Metazoa; Arthropoda; Insecta; Hymenoptera; Apidae
Exons: 2
Source: RefSeq, a predicted model, not a curated record